Molecule: ribosomal RNA, 478 nt
Filed under: uncultured bacterium
Lineage: Bacteria
Description: partial 16S ribosomal RNA
Rfam family: Bacterial small subunit ribosomal RNA
Source: RNAcentral
GAUGAACGCUGGCGGCGUGCUUAACACAUGCAAGUCGAACGAGAAGUGAAGACGGAACCCUUCGGGCGGAAGGCUUUAUUUCGAGUGGCGGACGGGUGGGUAACGCGUGGGUAACCUGCCUCAUACAGGGGGAUAACAGUUGGAAACGACUGUUAAUACCGCAUAAGACCACAGCACCGCAUGGUGCGGGGGUAAAAACUCCGGUGGUAUGAGAUGGACCCGCGUUCGAUUAGCCAGUUGGCGGGGUAACGGCCCACCAAAGCGACGAUCGAUAGCCGAUCUGAGAGGAUGACCGGCCACAUUGGGACUGAGACACGGCCCAAACUCCUACGGGAGGCAGCAGUGGGGAAUAUUGCACAAUGGGGGAAACCCUGAUGCAGCGACGCCGCGUGAGUGAAGAAGUAUUUCGGUAUGUAAAGCUCUAUCAGCAGGGAAGAAAAUGACGGUACCUGAGUAAGAAGCCCCGGCUAACUACGUG